UCAAUUUUUUUUUUUCUUUUGUUCAUUUGUUUACAUUCUACUCUAUGUUGUAUCUUUCACCAGCAAAUCUUUUCAAAGAAGAAACUGAAGAAACAUUGGAGCUUAUAAAAAUAGCUAAAAUUACCUUAAAAGCUUUAAGGAUCCAUUCUAUAGUCACAGAAACAAAUCGGAGAAUUACUUCACCUGUGGCAAGGAAUUUAAAUCAUGGGAUUUCAGAUCUGAGAUGGCGUUUUUCAGAUUUGAUGUGUUCCUCAACCACUGACUGAAGAUUGAGGACAUUUCUAUUAACAAGUUGUAAUUUCAAAAUCUGGAAAAGCUGGAAUUUUGUGGAAUCAAGGGGAAAUUUUAAGUGAGCAGAUCUGCAGAAUGAAUGAAGAGUUUCGGGAAAACUGAAAUUUUCAGAAAUAGAGCAUAAAAUCCUCCAGAUCACAGAAAUAUGGAAAGGUAAAAAAGAAGCUCUAUUAUACCUGGAUGACAAAGGAGAAAGUCUUGCUACAAUAUACAAGAUGCUGCAAGACCAUAGCUGCCAGAUCCAUAUCUUGUUGAGGAAUUGCCUGAAAAAUGCAAUGCCAUUGAGAAGAGAGCUGUGUUGAAGUACAGAAUAGCUUCUCUUCAGACCUCCAAGGUUGCAGUUAUUAGAUGAAGAUGCAUAUUACUUGAUGUAUGUUGAAUUCUAUGUUUCAGAACAGCACUGAUGAUUGGACUAAAACCCAGUAGAGACAGAUUAAUGUGGAACAGAUGGAUGGGG
Cuculus canorus (common cuckoo) is the source of this 748-nucleotide long non-coding RNA. RefSeq lists it as uncharacterized. The record is from RefSeq and is a predicted model, not a curated record. Lineage: Eukaryota; Metazoa; Chordata; Aves; Cuculiformes; Cuculidae. The transcript is spliced from 5 exons.